UACGUAGGUGGCAAGCGUUGUCCGGAUUUACUGGGCGUAAAGGGCGCGUAGGCGGUCAGCACAAGUCAGUUGUGAAAUCUCCGGGCUUAACUCGGAAAGGUCAACUGAUACUGUGCGACUAGAGUGCGGAAGGGGCAACUGGAAUUCUCGGUGUAGCGGUGAAAUGCGUAGAUAUCGAGAGGAACACCUGCGGCGAAGGCGGGUUGCUGGGCCGACACUGACGCUGAGGCGCGAAAGCCAGGGGAGCGAACGGG
This 254-nucleotide ribosomal RNA is filed under the name uncultured bacterium. Its description in RNAcentral is "partial 16S ribosomal RNA". It matches the Rfam family "Bacterial small subunit ribosomal RNA", at positions 524 to 776 of the family's 1533-position model. The record is from RNAcentral.